RNAcentral lists this long non-coding RNA (1231 nucleotides) under Carassius auratus (goldfish). RNAcentral's name for it is "lncRNA (ENSCARG00000001108.1)". Lineage: Eukaryota; Metazoa; Chordata; Actinopteri; Cypriniformes; Cyprinidae. The record is from RNAcentral.
UCAAUUAGUGUAAAAGGUUUGUGUAAAAUGUGUGUAAAAUGUCUUUAAAAAAGGGUAACUCCAUUUCAGGAAAUGACAUCAGCACCCCUUUUUUGGAGUUCAUACAAAAGCAGCAUGAAAACCUCAAAGACAGCAUUACACCAGAUGAAUGAUGUUUUUAUACAUUUACAUUGUCCUCCUCUUAGAAAUGCCAGCAGCUGUGCUGGGAGUGAGUUUGGAUCAAGGUACAAAGGCUUUGGCUAAAGCAGCUGGCAAAACUGUGUAUCUGCCCUGCAAAGUGACCGAUUUGCAAUCUUGGAAUUAUAUCCAUUGGUACCAAAUAAAAGAGGGUGAAGCCCCAUCGAGACAAAACAGUGGACAAAACAAAGCUUUAUGAUCUAAAACUGAGUGAUACUCAGACGAAACAUUCUGCCAUUUACUUUUGCGCCUACUGGGACACAAGCUACCACAGUGAGAAGAUUUACGCACAUCCUGUACAUGAACUAAUGAAUAAAACAUUUAAAUCCUUAAAUUGUUAUUUUCUGUUUAAGUUCUUAAUUUGACUUGAGCUGAGUGACAGGAUGGCUGGGUGAUGGUAUUUGGAUCUGUUUGGAUUGGAACUGCAGUAUACAGUAUGUAAUUGCCUUGGUGUUCAUGGAAGCCAGAUGACCUGGCCUCCACAGUCACCGGACCUGAACCCAAUCAAGAUGGUUUAGGGGUGAGCUGGACCGCAGACUGAAGGUAAAAGGGCCAACAAGUGCUAAGCCUCUCUGGGGGAACUCCUUCAAGACUGCUGGAAGACCAUUUCAGGUGACUACCUCUUGAAGCUCAUCAAGACAAUGCCAAGAGUGUGCAAAGCAGUAAUCAAAGCAAAAGGUGGCUACUUUGAAGAACCUAAAAUAUGACAUAUUUUCAAUUGUUUCACACUUUUUUGUUAUGUAUAUAAUUCCAUAUAUAAUUCCACAUGUGUUAAUUCAUAGUUUUGAUGCCUUCAGUGUGAAUCUACAAUUUCAUAGUCAUGAAAAUAAAGAAAACUAUUUGAAUGAGAAGGUGUUUCCAAACUUUUGGUCUGUACUGUAUAUGACAUAUUUUACAUUUAUGUAGGGAUCAUGGGUUUGUAAUUUUGUAAAGUUUGAUGAAGAGUUUGCUUGAAAUAUCAAUUGUCCUUUUGCAGUAAAAAUACAGUAGCAUUGUGCCGACUUUCACUAAAGUUAUCAAAUAAUAUGAAAGGCACUGCAUUACAAAGACAUAG